Long non-coding RNA from Maniola jurtina (meadow brown), 793 nucleotides. RefSeq lists it as uncharacterized. Lineage: Eukaryota; Metazoa; Arthropoda; Insecta; Lepidoptera; Nymphalidae. The record is from RefSeq and is a predicted model, not a curated record. The transcript is spliced from 2 exons.
CCAGACGAGAAAAGAAAAAAAAAAGCUGUGGAUUAUUAUGAUGUUUACAUAGACAUACGAAUUUUCGCUUCGCUCAAUGGAUGUUUACUUCGAAAAUACUGGAAAAGUUCAAAUUCGUAAUGAUAAUAAAAUAAAGGCAAAAGUUAUAGUUAUCCAGUGAAUAAUUGUUGUAGUUAUCCAGUGCGCUUUGGUGUAGCCUUUUUGUGUGGUAGGUAGUCAAGUCGUUAAAGUGCAGUUAUUGAAUUGAAUGAAAUUUGUAAUAAUUAUCGAAUUCUCAUUCAAAGUUUGUAUUUGUACCUACUUAAAAUACGAAUCUCAGACCGCGAUAGUGCCGUGCCUAUAAAUUUUCGUGUUCAUUGUGCAUGUACUUUGUUGGCACAGGACGAAUAAUUACGACGUGGGUAUAUUUUCUUAAAGAUUCCAUGCUUCAUCACACAGGAUGGCAAGUUCGGCACAGCCUAGUUCGUCAACGUGUCGCAAAAACUCAGGACCGGACCACCACAAGCUACAAGCCUGCAAUAAGGCUGGGUCUGAACCACGCGAUAUAAGGUCCGCUGGACUUAGAUCAGUCGGAAUAUGACGCCAGGCAGCCGAAACUUCCAGAAUUUCCGCGACUCGAUUCCUAACAAAAGGCUGUAAUUUAAUUGAAUUGACGAAAUUUCCCGUUGAAAGUGAGCUUCCAACGCGCGGGGGAAUGUUGGAGUUUUUUGAGUUUUACAUGGCAACCCUUUAAGUCAUUGUCAAAUGUCACUUCUCUUUUAAUUUUGCACAUAAUUAUAUAACCUAUUCUUCU